GACGAAUGCUAGCGGCGUGCCUAAUACAUGCAAGUCGAACGCUCUUUCUUUCACCGGAGCUUGCUCCACCGAAAGAAAAAGAGUGGCGAACGGGUGAGUAACACGUGGGUAACCUGCCCAUCAGAAGGGGAUAACACUUGGAAACAGGUGCUAAUACCGUAUAACACUAUUUUCCGCAUGGAAGAAAGUUGAAAGGCGCUUUUGCGUCACUGAUGGAUGGACCCGCGGUGCAUUAGCUAGUUGGUGAGGUAACGGCUCACCAAGGCAACGAUGCAUAGCCGACCUGAGAGGGUGAUCGGCCACACUGGGACUGAGACACGGCCCAGACUCCUACGGGAGGCAGCAGUAGGGAAUCUUCGGCAAUGGACGAAAGUCUGACCGAGCAACGCCGCGUGAGUGAAGAAGGUUUUCGGAUCGUAAAACUCUGUUGUUAGAGAAGAACAAGGAUGAGAGUAGAACGUUCAUCCCUUGACGGUAUCUAACCAGAAAGCCACGGCUAACUACGUGCCAGCAGCCGCGGUAA
RNAcentral lists this ribosomal RNA (523 nucleotides) under uncultured bacterium. Its description in RNAcentral is "partial 16S ribosomal RNA". It matches the Rfam family "Bacterial small subunit ribosomal RNA", at positions 28 to 523 of the family's 1533-position model. The record is from RNAcentral.